RNAcentral lists this ribosomal RNA (497 nucleotides) under uncultured bacterium. RNAcentral's name for it is "bacterial SSU rRNA". It matches the Rfam family "Bacterial small subunit ribosomal RNA", at positions 899 to 1397 of the family's 1533-position model. The record is from RNAcentral.
ACUCAAAGGAAUAGACGGGGGCCCGCACAAGCGGUGGAGCAUGUGGUUUAAUUCGAAGCAACGCGAAGAACCUUACCAGGUCUUGACAUCUCCCUGAACGGUGUAGAGAUACACUUUUCCUUCGGGACAGGGAAGACAGGUGGUGCAUGGUUGUCGUCAGCUCGUGUCGUGAGAUGUUGGGUUAAGUCCCGCAACGAGCGCAACCCUUAUGUUUAGUUGCCAUCAUUAAGUUGGGCACUCUAGACAGACUGCCGUGGAGAACACGGAGGAAGGUGGGGAUGACGUCAAAUCAUCAUGCCCCUUAUGACCUGGGCUACACACGUGCUACAAUGGGUGGUACAACGAGUCGCAACCUAGCGAUAGGACGCUAAUCUCUUAAAACCAUUCUCAGUUCGGAUUGUAGGCUGCAACUCGCCUACAUGAAGUCGGAAUCGCUAGUAAUCGCGGAUCAGCACGCCGCGGUGAAUACGUUCCCGGGCCUUGUACACACCGCCCGU